Molecule: ribosomal RNA, 586 nt
Filed under: uncultured bacterium
Lineage: Bacteria
Description: bacterial SSU rRNA
Rfam family: Bacterial small subunit ribosomal RNA
Source: RNAcentral
ACGGGUGAGUAACACGUAGGUAAUCUACCCCAGAAUCUGGAAUAACCUGCCGAAAGGCGGGCUAAUACUAGAUAGAGCGAUGGAAUCCGUAAUUGGGUUUUUCGGGAAAGGGAGGGAGUAAUCCCCCUCGUUUUGGGAUGAGCCUGCGUCCUAUCAGCUAGUUGGUGAGGUAAUGGCUCACCAAGGCUUCGACGGGUAGCUGGUCUGAGAGGAUGAUCAGCCACACUGGAACUGAAACACGGUCCAGACUCCUACGGGAGGCAGCAGUGGGGAAUCUUGCGCAAUGGACGAAAGUCUGACGCAGCCACGCCGCGUGAGUGAAGAAGGCCUUCGGGUUGUAAAGCUCUGUCGGGCGGGACGAAAAUCCAUUAGGUGAAUAGCCUAGUGGCCUGACGGUACCGCCAAAGGAAGCACCGGCUAACUUCGUGCCAGCAGCCGCGGUAAUACGAAGGGUGCAAGCGUUGCUCGGAAUUAUUGGGCGUAAAGGGUAGGUAGGUGGUCUCAUUUGUCUGGGGUGAAAUCCUCGAGCUUAACUUGAGAAGUGCCCCGGAAACGGUGAGACUAGAGUCCUGGAGAGGGUCGUGGA